This is a non-coding RNA of Vicugna pacos (alpaca), 95 nucleotides long. Lineage: Eukaryota; Metazoa; Chordata; Mammalia; Artiodactyla; Camelidae. The record is from RefSeq and is a predicted model, not a curated record.
UCUGUCCCUACAUGAGGCUCUUCAGAUCCCUGGUGUGCAUGCACGUGGAGCUGAGAGGGUCAGGGGAACAGCAACCAGGCUGGGGAAGCCCUGAG